UGGCCUACGGGGGGCAGCAGUGAGGAAUAUUGGUCAAUGGGCGCAAGCCUGAACCAGCCAAGUCGCGUGAGGGAAGACGGCCCUACGGGUUGUAAACCUCUUUUGCCGGGGAGCAAGCCUGAGCACGUGUGCCCAGGCGGAGAGUACCCGGAGAAAAAGCAUCGGCUAACUCCGUGCCAGCAGCCGCGGUAAUACGGAGGAUGCGAGCGUUAUCCGGAUUUAUUGGGUUUAAAGGGAGCGUAGGUGGAUUGUUAAGUCAGUUGUGAAAGUUUGCGGCUCAACCGUAAAAUUGCAGUUGAAACUGG
This 305-nucleotide ribosomal RNA is filed under the name uncultured bacterium. Its description in RNAcentral is "bacterial SSU rRNA". It matches the Rfam family "Bacterial small subunit ribosomal RNA", at positions 335 to 636 of the family's 1533-position model. The record is from RNAcentral.